GACGAACGCUGGCGGCGUGCCUAAUACAUGCAAGUAGAACGCUGAAGAGAGGAGCUUGCUCUUCUUGGAUGAGUUGCGAACGGGUGAGUAACGCGUAGGUAACCUGCCUUGUAGCGGGGGAUAACUAUUGGAAACGAUAGCUAAUACCGCAUAACAAUGGAUGACACAUGUCAUUUAUUUGAAAGGGGCAAUUGCUCCACUACAAGAUGGACCUGCGUUGUAUUAGCUAGUAGGUGAGGUAAUGGCUCACCUAGGCGACGAUACAUAGCCGACCUGAGAGGGUGAUCGGCCACACUGGGACUGAGACACGGCCCAGACUCCUACGGGAGGCAGCAGUAGGGAAUCUUCGGCAAUGGGGGCAACCCUGACCGAGCAACGCCGCGUGAGUGAAGAAGGUUUUCGGAUCGUAAAGCUCUGUUGUAAGUCAAGAACGGGUGUGAGAGUGGAAAGUUCACACUGUGACGGUAGCUUACCAGAAAGGGACGGCUAACUACGUGCCAGCAGCCGCGGUAAUACGUAGGUCCCGAGCGUUGUCCGGAUUUAUUGGGCGUAAAGCGAGCGCAGGCGGUUUGAUAAGUCUGAAGUUAAAGGCUGUGGCUCAACCAUAGUUCGCUUUGGAAACUGUCAAACUUGAGUGCAGAAGGGGAGAGUGGAAUUCCAUGUGUAGCGGUGAAAUGCGUAGAUAUAUGGAGGAACACCGGUGGCGAAAGCGGCUCUCUGGUCUGUAACUGACGCUGAGGCUCGAAAGCGUGGGGAGCGAACAGGAUUAGAUACCCUGGUAGUCCACGCCGUAAACGAUGAGUGCUAGGUGUUGGAUCCUUUCCGGGAUUCAGUGCCGCAGCUAACGCAUUAAGCACUCCGCCUGGGGAGUACGACCGUAAGGUUGAAACUCAAAGGAAUUGACGGGGGCCCGCACAAGCGGUGGAGCAUGUGGUUUAAUUCGAAGCAACGCGAAGAACCUUACCAGGUCUUGACAUCCCGAUGCUAUUUCUAGAGAUAGAAAGUUACUUCGGUACAUCGGUGACAGGUGGUGCAUGGUUGUCGUCAGCUCGUGUCGUGAGAUGUUGGGUUAAGUCCCGCAACGAGCGCAACCCCUAUUGUUAGUUGCCAUCAUUCAGUUGGGCACUCUAGCGAGACUGCCGGUAAUAAACCGGAGGAAGGUGGGGAUGACGUCAAAUCAUCAUGCCCCUUAUGACCUGGGCUACACACGUGCUACAAUGGUUGGUACAACGAGUUGCGAGUCGGUGACGGCGAGCUAAUCUCUUAAAGCCAAUCUCAGUUCGGAUUGUAGGCUGCAACUCGCCUACAUGAAGUCGGAAUCGCUAGUAAUCGCGGAUCAGCACGCCGCGGUGAAUACGUUCCCGGGCCU
This 1369-nucleotide ribosomal RNA is filed under the name uncultured bacterium. Its description in RNAcentral is "bacterial SSU rRNA". It matches the Rfam family "Bacterial small subunit ribosomal RNA", at positions 28 to 1381 of the family's 1533-position model. The record is from RNAcentral.